AGACAGGAAUGUCACUCCUGGGAUGGAGAAAAGAAAAUAAACUGCUUGGUCAGCUCCUAUUUUUCCAAGGAAAGAAGGUGGAAAGUUUGGCUUUGCAGAGUCUAAAGCAAACCAAAAGAUCACAGCAUUUAAAAUGGAGAAGGCCCCUGUUGACACCUCCAAUGUAGAGGAGAAAGCAGAAGAAAUCAUUGCUGAAGCUGAGCCUCCUUCAGAGGUGUAUCCUUAUUGGUUGCAUUUAUUUAUUUUGCCUCCAGGAGUUAUUGCUGAGGCUCAGUGCCUGCACCAUGAAUCCACUGCUCCUGGAGGCCAUUUUUUUCCCCUUUUGUUGCCCUUGUUGUUGUGGCCUUGUUGUGGUUAUUAUUGUUAUUGUUGAUGUCGUUCGUUGUUGGAUAAGACAGAGAGAAAUGGAGAGAGGAGGGGAAGACACAGAGAGGGAGAGAAAGACAGACACCUGCAGACCUGCUUCACCGCCUGUGAAGCGACUCCCCUGCAGGUGGGGAGCCAGGGGCUCAAACCGGGAUCCUUAUGCCAGUCCUUGCACUUGGGAUCACAUGCGCUUAACCUGCUGCGCUACCGCCCGACCCCUAAAACGAGACACUUUAAUGCCCACACAUCAUUGCUAUUUAAGACUCACCCAGCCUAAUAUGGAAGAAGAAUAGCUCUACUACACAUGAAUAUGGACCCAACCAUGACUCAGACUGUCUCAAAUGCUUUGAGACAGUCUGAUAUGUCCAUAUUGUAAACCAAAUC
Erinaceus europaeus (western European hedgehog) is the source of this 750-nucleotide long non-coding RNA. RefSeq lists it as uncharacterized. The transcript has 3 exons. The record is from RefSeq and is a predicted model, not a curated record. Lineage: Eukaryota; Metazoa; Chordata; Mammalia; Eulipotyphla; Erinaceidae.